UACGGAGGGUGCAAGCGUUGUCCGGAUUUAUUGGGUUUAAAGGGUGCGUAGGUGGCCUUAUAAGUCAGUGGUGAAAUUCUGUAGCUUAACUAUAGAACUGCCAUUGAUACUGUAGGGCUUGAGUGUCGUUAAGGCAGGCGGAAUUUAUGGUGUAGCGGUGAAAUGCAUAGAUACCAUAAAGAACACCGAUAGCGAAGGCAGCUUGCUUAGCGGCAACUGACACUGAUGCACGAAAGCGUGGGUAGCGAACAGG
RNAcentral lists this ribosomal RNA (253 nucleotides) under uncultured bacterium. RNAcentral describes it as "partial 16S ribosomal RNA". It matches the Rfam family "Bacterial small subunit ribosomal RNA", at positions 524 to 776 of the family's 1533-position model. The record is from RNAcentral.